This 294-nucleotide signal recognition particle RNA is filed under the name Vombatus ursinus (common wombat). RNAcentral's name for it is "Metazoan signal recognition particle RNA (ENSVURG00010015308.1)". It matches the Rfam family "Metazoan signal recognition particle RNA". From Rfam's summary of the family: The signal recognition particle (SRP) is a universally conserved ribonucleoprotein. It is involved in the co-translational targeting of proteins to membranes. The record is from Rfam by way of RNAcentral. Lineage: Eukaryota; Metazoa; Chordata; Mammalia; Diprotodontia; Vombatidae.
GUUGGGUGUGGUGGUACACCCCUAUAAUCUCUGCCACCAGAAAGGAUAUGGCUUGGAGAUCUUUGGAGCUUCGGAGUUCUGACCUGCAAUGGGCUAUGCCAUUUGGGUGUCCAUACUAAAUCUGGUAUUGAUAUGGUGAGGCCCCAGAGAGCAGGGGACCACCAUGUUGCCUAAGGAGGGGUGAAUUAGCCCAGGUCAGAGACAGAGCAGGUCAAAGCUCUGGUGACAACUAAUAGUGGGAUUAGCCUGUGAGUACUCUCUGAACUUGUAGUCCUGGCCAAAAGGGGAGAGCUU